RNAcentral lists this ribosomal RNA (433 nucleotides) under uncultured bacterium. RNAcentral describes it as "partial 16S ribosomal RNA". It matches the Rfam family "Bacterial small subunit ribosomal RNA", at positions 29 to 507 of the family's 1533-position model. The record is from RNAcentral.
AACGAACGCUGGCGGCAUGCCUAACACAUGCAAGUCGAACGAGACCUUCGGGUCUAGUGGCGCACGGGUGCGUAACGCGUGGGAACCUGCCCUUAGGUUCGGAAUAACUCCCCGAAAGGGGUGCUAAUACCGGAUAAUGUCUUCGGACCAAAGAUUUAUCGCCUUUGGAUGGGCCCGCGUUGGAUUAGCUAGUUGGUAGGGUAAAAGCCUACCAAGGCGACGAUCCAUAGCUGGUCUGAGAGGAUGAUCAGCCACACUAGGACUGAGACACGGCCCAGACUCCUACGGGAAGCAGCAGUGGGGAAUAUUGGACAAUGGGCGAAAGCCUGAUCCAGCAAUGCCGCGUGAGUGAUGAAGGCCUUAGGGUUGUAAAGCUCUUUUACCCGGGAUGAUAAUGACAGUACCGGGAGAAUAAGCUCCGGCUAACUCCGUG